Non-coding RNA from Camellia sinensis, 1262 nucleotides. Lineage: Eukaryota; Viridiplantae; Streptophyta; Magnoliopsida; Ericales; Theaceae. The record is from RefSeq and is a predicted model, not a curated record.
UUCUUCUUCUUCUUCUUCUUCUUCUUCUUCUUCUCUUUAUAAUGCCUUUCCUGGAGAACUGAUUAUAGUUUUAUUCUUGCAUAAUUGAAGGAAACACUUAAUGUGUAUUGCUAUGCAAUUAUAAUAUUGUUUGUACAAGCAAUGAAUGCAGCACAGCUUUGAGCUCAUGUUUCUUGUAACCACUUCAGCAUAUAUAAUUUAAACAUCUGCUCACAUGAGAUUGCAUGCGAAACAUAGAUUUGUGACAUUAGGAUGAUUAUGGAUUUAAGUAGCAAAUUUGCCAUUCGCUCAUUCUUCAAGGAUGUGAGGAGAUCAUACUUGUGAAGGAAAGAAUUGGAAAAAGGUGAUUUAAAAUUGGUCAUGGUGUAUUUUUCUAAAUUUGCUUACUCUUGAAAAUUGAAGAAAGUAUUUUUCAAUUUAAUUUUCUAAGGCAACAGCAUUUUCCUUGGUAAUUUUUGAAAAAAUGGAGACAGUAAUUUUAAAUUUUCUAACCUUUGAAAAUAAAAAUUAAUAAUUUUCAAGGUAAUAGCAUUUCCUUAGGAGUGCACCACCCAAUAACAUGUUGCUGCCCCCUAUUUCUUCUAGAGGAUAUCCCAAUUGUUCUAGAUCAACUGGGGAGGGAUUCUUUAACCAAAUAUAUUACCAUGAAUAUUCUGCAUUCCAAUGAACUAUUUAUUGUAUAUGGCUAACAUGAAGUCCUUUGGUUAAAUAUAUCUUACUUUCGUAGAAAUGAUCUUCAAUAUUUAUCAUUAAUGAUCACAUCUGGGUGCCAUUUUAGAGUUAGUUGAUCUUGUUCAAUAAACAGAGGGGGUGUUUGUUAUGUUAAAAUGGCAUGCCCUUGUUUACAACAUAAUUGUUUAACUUGCUAUUGUGAUUCCUGUUCUUGUUUUGUUGAUGAUUUGUGUUCCAGACAGAAGAGCAUGUUGUUGGACGAGAUGGAGGUAUUUUGGCGAAUGGGCAAGGAAAACCGAAGAAGGGAAGAGGAGGGCCAAGAGAUGCAAAGAGAAUCAGACAAUCAAAUGAUGCAGAUUAUGACUAUGAAGAUGAUCCUGAUUUAAUUAUGUGAGAAUCAGUAUGCCAAUUGACCUUGAAGGACUUUUUUUUUUAUUUUAUUUUAAAUUACUCUCUCUCUCUCUUUCUUUUCGAUCAAUUUCUGUAAAUGCCUUGAGUCUCGUAUUUUGGAAAAUAGACUUCCAUGUGGCUAUAAUGGAUUAAUGUUAUUGAGGCUUGUAUUGCUGUCAUGAAUUACACUUUUUUUUCUU